AAAUGAAUAGACGGGGGCCCGCACAAGCAGAGGAGCAUGUGGCUUAAUUCGAUGCAACGCGAAGAACCUUACCGGGGCUUGACAUGGGACUGCAACGGCGGUGAAAGCCGCCCGCCUUCGAGGGUGUCCCACAGGUGCUGCAUGGCUGUCGUCAGUUCGUGCCGUGAGGUGUUUGGUUAAGUCCAGCAACGAACGCAACCCCUGCGCCGUGUUGCCAUCGCGUAAAGGCGGGCACUCGCGGCGGACCGCCCGUUCACGCGGGAGGAGGGUGGGGACGACGUCAAGUCAGUAUGGCCCUUACGCCCCGGGCCGCACACGUGCUACAAUGGCGGGCACAGAGGGAAGCGAUGCCGCGAGGCGGAGCCAACCCCCAAAACCCGCCCCAGUUCGGAUCGGAGUCUGCAACCCGACUCCGUGAAGCCGGAUUUGCUAGUAACGGCGCAUCAGCCACGGCGCCGUGAAUACGUUCCCGGGCCUUGUACACACCGCCCGU
This 493-nucleotide ribosomal RNA is filed under the name uncultured bacterium. Its description in RNAcentral is "bacterial SSU rRNA". It matches the Rfam family "Bacterial small subunit ribosomal RNA", at positions 903 to 1397 of the family's 1533-position model. The record is from RNAcentral.